This 267-nucleotide ribosomal RNA is filed under the name uncultured Gammaproteobacteria bacterium. RNAcentral describes it as "partial 16S ribosomal RNA". It matches the Rfam family "Bacterial small subunit ribosomal RNA", at positions 67 to 338 of the family's 1533-position model. The record is from RNAcentral. Lineage: Bacteria; Pseudomonadati; Pseudomonadota; Gammaproteobacteria.
CGGUAGAGAGAAGCUUGCUUCUCUUGAGAGCGGCGGACGGGUGAGUAAUGCCUAGGAAUCUGCCUGGUAGUGGGGGAUAACGUUCGGAAACGGACGCUAAUACCGCAUACGUCUACGGGAGAAAGCAGGGGACUUCGGGCCUUGCGCUAUCAGAUGAGCCUAGGUCGGAUUAGCUAGUUGGUGAGGUAAUGGCUCACCAAGGCGACGAUCCGUAACUGGUCUGAGAGGAUGAUCAGUCACACUGGAACUGAGACACGGUCCAGACUC